This is a long non-coding RNA of Trifolium pratense (red clover), 838 nucleotides long. RefSeq lists it as uncharacterized. The record is from RefSeq and is a predicted model, not a curated record. NCBI's taxonomy places the organism in Eukaryota, Viridiplantae, Streptophyta, Magnoliopsida, Fabales, Fabaceae. The transcript has 3 exons.
ACCGCGUUGCUCCUUCCUCCAGUCCAUAACCAUUGAACUAAAUAAAAUUAACAUAUUUAAGAUCUAACAAGUUGGUGUGGACGAGGACAUUGAAUUGGCUAAACAAGUUGACAAACCCUUCUUUACCUCAAAUUUUCAAAUCCUUCCAUUGUAGCAAAUCAACAUUCAUACUUUCAUUGUAGCAAAUCAAACGAGCAAAGACAACUGGUUUGGAUCGAUCGAGAAGCAGAGCAAAGUGAAGACAACGGAAGGUUCUUUGAGGCUUUGAGUCAUGGAGGGUAGACCAAACAGUCAAAAUCCAUUGUUCGUGAACGUAGCUUCAGGGGAAGGCAUAGGAGAAGAAACUCUGGGUACUGACAUAUCAAAUGGGGGACCUAGCUACUCUGUUGGAGGUGGUAGUUCAAACCCAGAUGAAAGUUUAGAUGGGUCAUUUGAUGAGAUUUGAAAUGAUAGAGAGGAUCAAAGUUUUGGUUAUGGUUGUGAAGUAGAAGCGGUUGUAAUUAAAGAUAUGGCUGAUAUAAUGAAGAUCGACUUAAACAAUUUUCGUGUAGCAGAUGUACGAAAGUAUGAAUUUGUUGGGCUGGAUGUCGCAUACAUGUUUUAUUGUUGGUUUGCCAAAACUUCUGGGUUCUCUGUUCACAAAGGUCAUGUGGUUAGAAAUCACGAAGGGAACAUUCUACAACAAACAUUGUGUACAAGAAUCAAAGACACCAGUGAUUGUUCCUUCAAAUACAACAUAAAAAGUCAUUUUUUUCCUUUAACCAAACUCAAAAACAAGGAUGUAUUGAAGGGAAUGGUGUAGGUUAUGUUAAUAUAUAUACACGAAUGAAAUGACAUA